Molecule: ribosomal RNA, 1495 nt
Filed under: Lactobacillus sp. T17/4F
Lineage: Bacteria; Bacillati; Bacillota; Bacilli; Lactobacillales; Lactobacillaceae
Description: bacterial SSU rRNA
Rfam family: Bacterial small subunit ribosomal RNA
Source: RNAcentral
UGCCUAAUACAUGCAAGUCGAACGCGUUGGCCCAAUUGAUUGAUGGUGCUUGCACCUGAUUGAUUUUGGUCGCCAACGAGUGGCGGACGGGUGAGUAACACGUAGGUAACCUGCCCAGAAGCGGGGGACAACAUUUGGAAACAGAUGCUAAUACCGCAUAACAGCGUUGUUCGCAUGAACAACGCUUAAAAGAUGGCUUCUCGCUAUCACUUCUGGAUGGACCUGCGGUGCAUUAGCUUGUUGGUGGGGUAACGGCCUACCAAGGCGAUGAUGCAUAGCCGAGUUGAGAGACUGAUCGGCCACAAUGGGACUGAGACACGGCCCAUACUCCUACGGGAGGCAGCAGUAGGGAAUCUUCCACAAUGGGCGCAAGCCUGAUGGAGCAACACCGCGUGAGUGAAGAAGGGUUUCGGCUCGUAAAGCUCUGUUGUUAAAGAAGAACACGUAUGAGGGUAACUGUUCAUACGUUGACGGUAUUUAACCAGAAAGUCACGGCUAACUACGUGCCAGCAGCCGCGGUAAUACGUAGGUGGCAAGCGUUAUCCGGAUUUAUUGGGCGUAAAGAGAGUGCAGGCGGUUUUCUAAGUCUGAUGUGAAAGCCUUCGGCUUAACCGGAGAAGUGCAUCGGAAACUGGAUAACUUGAGUGCAGAAGAGGGUAGUGGAACUCCAUGUGUAGCGGUGGAAUGCGUAGAUAUAUGGAAGAACACCAGUGGCGAAGGCGGCUACCUGGUCUGCAACUGACGCUGAGACUCGAAAGCAUGGGUAGCGAACAGGAUUAGAUACCCUGGUAGUCCAUGCCGUAAACGAUGAGUGCUAGGUGUUGGAGGGUUUCCGCCCUUCAGUGCCGGAGCUAACGCAUUAAGCACUCCGCCUGGGGAGUACGACCGCAAGGUUGAAACUCAAAGGAAUUGACGGGGGCCCGCACAAGCGGUGGAGCAUGUGGUUUAAUUCGAAGCUACGCGAAGAACCUUACCAGGUCUUGACAUCUUGCGCCAACCCUAGAGAUAGGGCGUUUCCUUCGGGAACGCAAUGACAGGUGGUGCAUGGUCGUCGUCAGCUCGUGUCGUGAGAUGUUGGGUUAAGUCCCGCAACGAGCGCAGCCCUUGUUACUAGUUGCCAGCAUUAAGUUGGGCACUCUAGUGAGACUGCCGGUGACAAACCGGAGGAAGGUGGGGACGACGUCAGAUCAUCAUGCCCCUUAUGACCUGGGCUACACACGUGCUACAAUGGACGGUACAACGAGUCGCGAACUCGCGAGGGCAAGCAAAUCUCUUAAAACCGUUCUCAGUUCGGACUGCAGGCUGCAACUCGCCUGCACGAAGUCGGAAUCGCUAGUAAUCGCGGAUCAGCAUGCCGCGGUGAAUACGUUCCCGGGCCUUGUACACACCGCCCGUCACACCAUGAGAGUUUGUAACACCCAAAGUCGGUGGGGUAACCUUUUAGGAGCCAGCCGCCUAAGGUGGGACAGAUGAUUAGGGUGAAGUCGUAACAAGG